RNAcentral lists this transfer RNA (73 nucleotides) under Camelus dromedarius (Arabian camel). It matches the Rfam family "tRNA". Rfam says of the family: Transfer RNA (tRNA) molecules are approximately 80 nucleotides in length. Their secondary structure includes four short double-helical elements and three loops (D, anti-codon, and T loops). RNAcentral also lists the same sequence under 1 other name. The record is from Rfam by way of RNAcentral. Lineage: Eukaryota; Metazoa; Chordata; Mammalia; Artiodactyla; Camelidae.
GAGGGUACAGCUCAAGUGGUAGAGCACAUGCUUAGCACGCACAAGGUCCUGGGUUCAAUCCCCAGUACCUCCU